This 465-nucleotide ribosomal RNA is filed under the name Vreelandella stevensii. Its description in RNAcentral is "partial 16S ribosomal RNA". It matches the Rfam family "Bacterial small subunit ribosomal RNA", at positions 338 to 795 of the family's 1533-position model. The record is from RNAcentral. Lineage: Bacteria; Pseudomonadati; Pseudomonadota; Gammaproteobacteria; Oceanospirillales; Halomonadaceae.
CCUACGGGAGGCUGCAGUGGGGAAUAUUGGACAAUGGGCGAAAGCCUGAUCCAGCCAUGCCGCGUGUGUGAAGAAGGCCUUCGGGUUGUAAAGCACUUUCAGUGGGGAAGAAAGCCUUGGGGCUAAUACCCUCGAGGAAGGACAUCACCCACAGAAGAAGCACCGGCUAACUCCGUGCCAGCAGCCGCGGUAAUACGGAGGGUGCGAGCGUUAAUCGGAAUUACUGGGCGUAAAGCGCGCGUAGGCGGUCUGAUAAGCCGGUUGUGAAAGCCCCGGGCUCAACCUGGGAACGGCAUCCGGAACUGUCAGGCUAGAGUGCAGGAGAGGAAGGUAGAAUCCCCGGUGUAGCGGUGAAAUGCGUAGAGAUCGGGAGGAAUACCAGUGGCGAAGGCGGCCUUCUGGACUGACACUGACGCUGAGGUGCGAAAGCGUGGGUAGCAAACAGGAUUAGAUACCCGAGUAGUC